CUGAAUCAGCUCUCUAAGCCGUCCUGUCAGCACUGGAGGAGGAGGAAGUCUUUUAUCAACCCGCCGUGUGACUGCUGUGUGUGUAGCGCCUUGUCAUAAAGGCUUUUCUACGUGCUGGCAUGAAGAUUCACUACGAGGGACAGCAUGUGGAAGCAAUGCACCUAAGCACCCUUUUUUAUCAAUUGGUUGUUGACAAACCGCCAGGAGGAGAGGGAGUAGGGCCGGAGGAAACAGCGUGGGUCUACGGAUAACAAGAACCUGCAUGCAAUGCCUGAAAGGACUUUUUUGGAGGUUGGCCAGGGUUUGCCUUGGAGAUCAGGCUCCACGCCCAUUCUCAAGUUCUAUCAUUUCUGUGAGCUGUUCCCUAUCUCCUCUGAUUGAUUAGAUAAAUCCUCUAGAGAUCAUUAUCACUGGACCCUCUGUUCCUCGGACUGUCCUCCUGGUAUCUGCUGCUCACACCUCUCAGAUACUCACCCUCCAAAACCAUCAACUCUAUCACAAAGAUACAUCUUUACUGAACCAUUGCUCACCACCACCUGCUAACCUCAGACUAUGGCUCCACUUACCUUCUCCUGAGUCUGCUCUCUCGCCU
Long non-coding RNA from Girardinichthys multiradiatus, 592 nucleotides. RefSeq lists it as uncharacterized. Lineage: Eukaryota; Metazoa; Chordata; Actinopteri; Cyprinodontiformes; Goodeidae. The record is from RefSeq and is a predicted model, not a curated record. The transcript has 5 exons.